RNAcentral lists this ribosomal RNA (440 nucleotides) under uncultured bacterium. RNAcentral describes it as "partial 16S ribosomal RNA". It matches the Rfam family "Bacterial small subunit ribosomal RNA", at positions 338 to 795 of the family's 1533-position model. The record is from RNAcentral.
CCUACGGGUGGCAGCAGUGGGGAAUAUUGCACAAUGGGGGAAACCCUGAUGCAGCGACGCCGCGUGAGUGUAGAAGUCUUUCGGUAUGUAAAGCUCUAUCAGCAGGGAAGAAAAUGACGGUACCUGAUUCAGACGCCCCGGCUAACUACGUGCCAGCAGCCGCGGUAAUACGUAGGGGGCACGCGUUAUCCGGAUUUACUGGGUGUAAAGGGAGCGUAGACGGCAGCACAAGUCUGUGGUGAAAUGGCGGGGCUUAACCCCUGAACUGCUUUUGAAACUGUGCAGCUAGAGUGCAGGAGAGGUAAGUGGAAUGCCUAGUGUAGCGGUGAAAUGCGUAGAUAUUAGGAGGAACACCAGUGGCGAAGGCGGCUUACGGGACUGUAACUGACGUUGAGGCUCGAAAGCGUGGGGAGCAAACAGGAUUAGAUACCCGUGUAGUC